CUACGGGAGGCACCAGUGGGGAAUAUUGCACAAUGGAGGAAACUCUGAUGCAGCAACGCCGCGUGGAGGAUGACACUUUUCGGAGCGUAAACUCCUUUUAUAUAGGAAGAAGAUGACGGUACUAUAUGAAUAAGCGCCGGCUAACUCCGUGCCAGCAGCCGCGGUAAUACGGAGGGCGCAAGCGUUACUCGGAAUCACUGGGCGUAAAGAGCGUGUAGGCGGAUUAAAAAGUCAGAAGUGAAAUCCUAUAGCUUAACUAUAGAACUGCUUCUGAAACUCUUAAUCUAGAAUAUGGGAGAGGUAGAUGGAAUUUCUGGUGUAGGGGUAAAAUCCGUAGAGAUCAGAAGGAAUACCGAUUGCGAAGGCGAUCUACUAGAACAUUAUUGACGCUGAGACGCGAAAGCGUGGGGAGCAAACAGGAUUAGAUACCCGCGUAGUC
RNAcentral lists this ribosomal RNA (439 nucleotides) under uncultured bacterium. RNAcentral describes it as "partial 16S ribosomal RNA". It matches the Rfam family "Bacterial small subunit ribosomal RNA", at positions 339 to 795 of the family's 1533-position model. The record is from RNAcentral.